Molecule: ribosomal RNA, 284 nt
Filed under: uncultured Methanomicrobiales archaeon
Lineage: Archaea; Methanobacteriati; Methanobacteriota; Methanomicrobia; Methanomicrobiales
Description: partial 16S ribosomal RNA
Rfam family: Archaeal small subunit ribosomal RNA
Source: RNAcentral
CCAGUUGCCCAGGCCUCGGUCCUCCGGGGAUGGAGGGGACACUGUUGGGACCGCCUCUGCUAAAGAGGAGGAAGGAAUGGGCAACGGUAGGUCAGCAUGCCCCGAAUUAAUUGGGCUACACGCGGGCUACAAUGGGUGGGACAAUGGGUAUCGACACCGAAAGGUGAAGGCAAUCUCCUAAACCCAUCCGUAGUUCGGAUUGUGGGCUGCAACUCGCCCACAUGAAGCUGGAAUCUGUAGUAAUCGUGUUUCAAAAUAGCACGGUGAAUAUGUCCCUGCUCCUU